AAUAAGUCUGCGGGUAAACUUGUUUUCAUCGCCGGGGACUCAAUACUACAACAUGUUCACGACUGGGACUUGUCUAACGAUAAACAACGUGUAUCUGUAAAGUCCUUUUCAGGGAGUAAAGCUGAAGAUAUGCAAGAUUACAUAAAACUUUUACUACGCAAAAAGCCCGACGAGAUAAUAUUGCAUGUAGGCACUAACAAUAUUAAAGAUAACUCCAAACGGCAGAAGUGGUUGCUGCGGGUAUCUUAAACCUCGGAACCCAAAUAAAGGAUAGUUUACCAUGCACUAACGUAUGUAUAUCGGGCAUUAUUACCAGGAAAGAUAAAGCUAAUAUCCAGAAUAAAAUUAAAACUGUAAAUGACAUUCUUAAACGGGUCUCUGACCAAAACAAAUGGACCUAUAUAGACAACACUAAUUUAUAUUAUACUUGCCUAAAUAGAGGUGGCCUACAUUUAAAUAGGAAGGGUAGUAGCACUCUUACUAGAAAUUAUAGUAAUCACUUUAGUCGUAAUUGAAAUAAGGCAUGGCCAGGUGCUGUAAGGUAUGCUCAAUUUAACCCAUAUUUUCCUGAUUUGAAGGGUUUCAAAAUGGGUAUGCUUAACAUAACCAAUUUACCUAAGCAUAUUGACGAAAU
Paramuricea clavata is the source of this 634-nucleotide non-coding RNA. The record is from the annotation of a GenBank genome assembly. NCBI's taxonomy places the organism in Eukaryota, Metazoa, Cnidaria, Anthozoa, Malacalcyonacea, Plexauridae.